Potamilus streckersoni is the source of this 73-nucleotide non-coding RNA. Lineage: Eukaryota; Metazoa; Mollusca; Bivalvia; Unionida; Unionidae. The record is from the annotation of a GenBank genome assembly.
CGCUGGGUGGCCAAGUGGCUAGAGCAUCCGCCUCGGAUGCGGGAGGUCGAGGGUUCAAUCCCCAGUCGAGUCA